GCGGGUGUAGUUUAAUGGUAAAACCUCAGCCUUCCAAGCUGAUGACGAGGGUUCGAUUCCCUUCAUCCGCUCCA
RNAcentral lists this transfer RNA (74 nucleotides) under Virgibacillus proomii. RNAcentral describes it as "tRNA-Gly". It matches the Rfam family "tRNA". From Rfam's summary of the family: Transfer RNA (tRNA) molecules are approximately 80 nucleotides in length. Their secondary structure includes four short double-helical elements and three loops (D, anti-codon, and T loops). The record is from RNAcentral. Lineage: Bacteria; Bacillati; Bacillota; Bacilli; Caryophanales; Bacillaceae. RNAcentral also lists the same sequence under 5 other names.